CGCCAGACUCCUACGGGAGGCAGCAGUGAGGAAUAUUGGUCAAUGGGCGGAAGCCUGAACCAGCCAAGUCGCGUGAGGGAAGAAGGCCCUGCGGGUCGCAGACCUCUUUGGACGGGGAGCAAGGCCGCCGACGUGUCGGCGGAAGGAGAGUACCCGUAGAACAAGCAUCGGCUAACUCCGUGCCAGCAGCCGCGGUAAUACGGAGGAUGCGAGCGUUAUCCGGAUUUAUUGGGUUUAAAGGGUGCGCAGGCGGGCUGUUAAGCCGGCGGUAAAAAUUCAGGGCUCAACCCUGUCGAGCCGUCGGAACUGGCAGUCUUGAGUGGGCGAGAAGUAUGCGGAAUGCGUGGUGUAGCGGUGAAAUGCAUAGAUAUCACGCAGAACGCCGAUUGCGAAGACAGCAUACCGGCGCCCAACUGACGCUGAGGCACGAAAGCGUGGGGAUCGAACAGGAUUAGAUACCCUAGUA
Molecule: ribosomal RNA, 466 nt
Filed under: uncultured bacterium
Lineage: Bacteria
Description: bacterial SSU rRNA
Rfam family: Bacterial small subunit ribosomal RNA
Source: RNAcentral